This is a long non-coding RNA of Mytilus californianus (California mussel), 218 nucleotides long. RefSeq lists it as uncharacterized. Lineage: Eukaryota; Metazoa; Mollusca; Bivalvia; Mytilida; Mytilidae. The record is from RefSeq and is a predicted model, not a curated record. The transcript has 3 exons.
UAGAGAUUACCCCAUCAUAGAAGACUGUUUACCUGUUCAGUGUAUACAUUUAAAUAUGUUAAGUGUAAAUAUAUGUAGAGAUUACCCCAUCAUAGAAGACUGUUUACCUGUUCAGUGUAUACAUUUAAAUAUGUUAAGUGUAAAUAUAUGUAGAGAUUACCCCAUCAUAGAAGACUGUUUACCUGUUCAAUGUAUACAUUUAAUUUAUGUUAAGUGUA